Pipistrellus kuhlii (Kuhl's pipistrelle) is the source of this 249-nucleotide long non-coding RNA. RefSeq lists it as uncharacterized. Lineage: Eukaryota; Metazoa; Chordata; Mammalia; Chiroptera; Vespertilionidae. The transcript is spliced from 2 exons. The record is from RefSeq and is a predicted model, not a curated record.
CCUUCCCAUGGGUGCUCAGUGAAUGUUCUAUAACUCACCAUCAUCAGGCUUCUUCACAAAUUUGACUCCCAGUUCUUCAAAUCUUUUGCAAGCACCAUGUACAUCAGGAACUGCAAUUCCAAUGUGACCUUAGCCUCGGGGGUCUGAGUUGCCGCUGUGGUAGCUCUGGGCCUCAUCCUCCUCAGUGCCCCAAUUGCUGUGAAAGGAGGGAAAACACAAUUACAAGGGACCUGCAGAACAGAUAUUCUG